AGCCUUCUCUAUCCGUGCUGAGAUUUCAUCGCACACCAGACAAGGGCUGAUGAGACUUCCCAGAUAAGUGAAAUG
This 75-nucleotide microRNA precursor is filed under the name Schistosoma mattheei. RNAcentral describes it as "mir-3492 microRNA precursor family". It matches the Rfam family "mir-3492 microRNA precursor family". Lineage: Eukaryota; Metazoa; Platyhelminthes; Trematoda; Strigeidida; Schistosomatidae. The record is from Rfam by way of RNAcentral.